This 539-nucleotide ribosomal RNA is filed under the name Hepatozoon sp. RNAcentral describes it as "SSU rRNA". It matches the Rfam family "Eukaryotic small subunit ribosomal RNA", at positions 343 to 872 of the family's 1831-position model. The record is from RNAcentral. Lineage: Eukaryota; Apicomplexa; Hepatozoidae.
ACCGUGGCAGUGACGGUUAACGGGGAAUUAGGGUUCAAUUCCGGAGAGGGAGCCUGAGAAACGGCUACCACAUCUAAGGAAGGCAGCAGGCGCGCAAAUUACCCAAUUCUAACAGCAUAAGAGAGGUAGUGACAAGAAAUAACAGUACAAGGCAGUUAAAAUGCUUUGUAAUUGGAAUGAUAGAAAUUUAAAUACUUUUUAAAGUAUCAAUUGGAGGGCAAGUCUGGUGCCAGCAGCCGCGGUAAUUCCAGCUCCAAUAGCGUAUAUUAAAAUUGUUGCAGUUAAAAAGCUCGUAGUUGAAUUUUUGCUAAAAAUAACCGGUCUGCUUUUAUUAAUAAAAGUGGUAUCUUGGUGUGUUUUUAGCAAUAAUGUCCUUUGAAAUGUUUUUUACUUUAAUGUAGAAAACAAUUUUCAGGAUUUUUACUUUGAGAAAAUUAGAGUGUUUCAAGCAGGCUGACGUUUUGAAUACUGCAGCAUGGAAUAAUAAAAUAGGAUUUUAGUUCUACGUUAUUGGUUUUAAGAACUAAAUUAAUGAUUGA